This 424-nucleotide ribosomal RNA is filed under the name uncultured bacterium. RNAcentral's name for it is "bacterial SSU rRNA". It matches the Rfam family "Bacterial small subunit ribosomal RNA", at positions 355 to 775 of the family's 1533-position model. The record is from RNAcentral.
UAAGGAAUAUUGGUCAAUGGACGCAAGUCUGAACCAGCCAUGCCGCGUGAAGGAUGAAGGUCCUCUGGAUUGUAAACUUCUUUUAUCUGGGACGAAACCCGGGUAUUCUUUUCCGAUUGACGGUACCAGAGGAAUAAGCACCGGCUAACUCCGUGCCAGCAGCCGCGGUGAUACGUAGGGGUCUAGCGUUGUCCGGAAUCAUUGGGCGUAAAGAGCUCGUAGGCGGUUCGAUUAGUCGGGUGUGAAAUCUCCACGCUCAACGUGGAGGGGCCACUCGAUACUGUCGUGACUCGAGUCCGGUAGGGGAGUUCGGAAUUCCCGGUGUAGCGGUGAAAUGCGCAGAUAUCGGGAGGAACACCAGUGGCGAAGGCGGAACUCUGGGCCGGAACUGACGCUGAGGAGCGAAAGCGUGGGGAGCGAACAG